CCAAUAGCGUAUAUUAAAGUUGUUGCAGUUAAAAAGCUCGUAGUUGAAUUUCGGAAUCAAUGGAUCGGUCAUGCCAAUCGGUGUGUACUGGUUUGAUUGGUUCUCACCUUCUAAGGAACCGUGAUGUCAUUAAUUUGGUGUCGCGGGGAAUUAGGACUGUUACCUUGAAAACAUUAGUGUGUUUAAAGCAAGCUCACGCUUGAAUACAUUAGCAUGGAAUAAUGUAAUAGGACAUUGUAUUCUAUUUUGUUGGUUUCUAGGAUCGAUGUAAUGAUUAAUAGGGAUAGUUGGGGGCAUUAGUAUUCAAUUGUCAGAGGUGAAAUUCUUGGAUUUAUUGAAGACUAACUACUGCGAAAGCAUUUGCCAAGGAUGUUUUCAUUAAUCAAGAACGAAAGUUAGGGGAUCGAAGACGAUCAGAUACCGUCGUAGUCUUAACCAUAAACUAUGCCGACUAGGGAUCGGAUGAUGUUAAUUUUAUAAUGACUCAUUCGGCACCUUACG
This 501-nucleotide ribosomal RNA is filed under the name uncultured Glomeromycotina. RNAcentral's name for it is "partial small subunit ribosomal RNA". It matches the Rfam family "Eukaryotic small subunit ribosomal RNA", at positions 591 to 1092 of the family's 1831-position model. The record is from RNAcentral. Lineage: Eukaryota; Fungi; Glomeromycota.